RNAcentral lists this transfer RNA (74 nucleotides) under Neotoma lepida (desert woodrat). It matches the Rfam family "tRNA". From Rfam's summary of the family: Transfer RNA (tRNA) molecules are approximately 80 nucleotides in length. Their secondary structure includes four short double-helical elements and three loops (D, anti-codon, and T loops). The record is from Rfam by way of RNAcentral. Lineage: Eukaryota; Metazoa; Chordata; Mammalia; Rodentia; Cricetidae.
GGGAGUGUGGCUCAGUGGGUAGAGUGCUUGUCUAGCAUGCAUGAAACUCUGGGUUUGAUCCCCAUGCAAAGCCA